Molecule: ribosomal RNA, 250 nt
Filed under: uncultured bacterium
Lineage: Bacteria
Description: partial 16S ribosomal RNA
Rfam family: Bacterial small subunit ribosomal RNA
Source: RNAcentral
UACGUAGGUGGCAAGUGUUAUCCGGAUUUAUUGGGCGUAAAGCGAGCGCAGGCGGUUUCUUAAGUCUGAUGUGAAAGCCUUCGGCUUAACCGAAGAAGUGCAUCGGAAACUGGGGAACUUGAGUGCAGAAGAGGACAGUGGAACUCCAUGUGUAGCGGUGAAAUGCGUAGAUAUAUGGAAGAACACCAGUGGCGUAGGCGGCUGUCUGGUCUGUAACUGACGCUGAGGCUCGUAAGUGUGGGUAGCAAAC